This is a small nucleolar RNA of Pararge aegeria (speckled wood butterfly), 68 nucleotides long. NCBI's taxonomy places the organism in Eukaryota, Metazoa, Arthropoda, Insecta, Lepidoptera, Nymphalidae. The record is from RefSeq and is a predicted model, not a curated record.
GUUUAAUGAUGAAUAUUUCAGUUCUGCUUCUGAGUUCUUGUGAAGAUACUAUACCAAUCUUCUGAUGU